UACGUAGGGUGCGAGCGUUAAUCGGAUUUACUGGGCGUAAUGCGUGCGCAGGCGGCCCGUUAAGACAGGUGUGAAAUCCCUGGGCUCAACCUAGGAAUUGCGCUUGUGACUGGCGGGCUCGAGUACGGUAGAGGGGGGUGGAAUUCCUGGUGUAGCAGUGAAAUGCGUAGAGAUCAGGAGGAACACCGAUGGCGAAGGCAGCCCCCUGGGCCUGUACUGACGCUCAUGCACGAAAGCGUGGGGAGCAAACAGG
This 253-nucleotide ribosomal RNA is filed under the name uncultured microorganism. Its description in RNAcentral is "partial 16S ribosomal RNA". It matches the Rfam family "Bacterial small subunit ribosomal RNA", at positions 524 to 776 of the family's 1533-position model. The record is from RNAcentral.